RNAcentral lists this ribosomal RNA (446 nucleotides) under uncultured soil bacterium. RNAcentral describes it as "bacterial SSU rRNA". It matches the Rfam family "Bacterial small subunit ribosomal RNA", at positions 26 to 518 of the family's 1533-position model. The record is from RNAcentral.
AGAACGAACGCUGGCGGCAUGCCUAAUACAUGCAAGUCGAACGAACUCUUCGGAGUUAGUGGCGCACGGGUGCGUAACGCGUGGGAAUCUGCCCCUUGGUUCGGAAUAACAGUUGGAAACGACUGCUAAUACCGGAUGAUGACGAAAGUCCAAAGAUUUAUCGCCAAGGGAUGAGCCCGCGUAGGAUUAGCUAGUUGGUGAGGUAAAGGCUCACCAAGGCAACGAUCCUUAGCUGGUCUGAGAGGAUGAUCAGCCACACUGGGACUGAGACACGGCCCAGACUCCUACGGGAGGCAGCAGUAGGGAAUAUUGGACAAUGGGCGAAAGCCUGACCCAGCAAUGCCGCGUGAGUGAUGAAGGCCUUAGGUUGUAAAGCUCUUUUUACCCGAGAUGAUAAUGACAGUAUCGGGAGAAUAAGCCCCGGCUAACUCCGUGCUAGCAGCCGC